AUUAAAUAAUGUUCUUUAACUCAUAUAUCCUUGAUAAUUGGAUCAGGGGUUUCUACGAAGCAACCGGAAUUGCUUCUCUAUGAGCCAGAGAUGGCCAUAG
This 100-nucleotide non-coding RNA is filed under the name Desulfosporosinus youngiae. RNAcentral describes it as "Guanine sequence". It matches the Rfam family "Purine riboswitch aptamer". From Rfam's summary of the family: Riboswitches are metabolite binding domains within certain messenger RNAs that serve as precision sensors for their corresponding targets. Allosteric rearrangement of mRNA structure is mediated by ligand binding, and this results in modulation of gene expression. The record is from RNAcentral. Lineage: Bacteria; Bacillati; Bacillota; Clostridia; Eubacteriales; Desulfitobacteriaceae. RNAcentral also lists the same sequence under 1 other name.